AUGGACGAAAGUCUGAUGGAGCAACGCCGCGUGAGUGAAGAAGGGUUUCGGCUCGUAAAACUCUGUUGUUAAAGAAGAACAUAUCUGAGAGUAACUGUUCAGGUAUUGACGGUAUUUAACCAGAAAGCCACGGCUAACUACGUGCCAGCAGCCGCGGUAAUACGUAGGUGGCAAGCGUUGUCCGGAUUUAUUGGGCGUAAAGCGAGCGCAGGCGGUUUUUUAAGUCUGAUGUGAAAGCCUUCGGCUCAACCGAAGAAGUGCAUCGGAAACUGGGGAACUUGAGUGCAGAAGAGGACAGUGGAACUCCAUGUGUAGCGGUGAAAUGCGUAGAUAUAUGGAAGAACACCAGUGGCGAAGGCGGCUGUCUGGUCUGUAACUGACGCUGAGGCUCGAAAGUAUGGGUAGCAAACAGGAUUAGAUACCCUGGUAGUCCAUACCGUAAACGAUGAAUGCUAAGUGUUGGAGGGUUUCCGCCCUUCAGUGCUGCAGCUAACGCAUUAAGCAUUCCGCCUGGGGAGUACGGCCGCAAGGCUGAAACUCAAAGGAAUUGACGGGGGCCCGCACAAGCGGUGGAGCAUGUGGUUUAAUUCGAAGCUAC
Molecule: ribosomal RNA, 598 nt
Filed under: Lactiplantibacillus plantarum
Lineage: Bacteria; Bacillati; Bacillota; Bacilli; Lactobacillales; Lactobacillaceae
Description: bacterial SSU rRNA
Rfam family: Bacterial small subunit ribosomal RNA
Source: RNAcentral